UGGUGGAGAGUGAAAAUGGUUGGAGAUGAUAAACCAGAAGGAAAAGUGGUGGUGUGGAUUUUUUCCAAUUUCACUUUCAACCUCAAGGGUCCCUCUCUGCAUCCAUUCAUUUCAGAUGCAAAGAAAUCUACCUUUCAUUCAAAACAAUUCUCAUUAUAAAAAUUAAAAAUUAAAUAGAAAAAAAGUAAAAAAAUCUAAAUGGUCUUCAUUCACAGUUCAGCUUCUGCUUAGUGCUAUCCCCUCUUCCAAAAUUGUGGGAAUUUGGUAAAGUUUGUUCCUUUUUGUGAAUUCAUUUCUGGGUUUUGUUUUUUGAACCUUAACUCUUGUUGCUAAUGCUGAAACUUCAUUUAUGUAGUAACUGAAGAACUAGCAAGUUGUGAAAGUGUUGAUUUUUUUUCCACCAUCAAUGAUGAAUUCUCCAAUUCGUGCCCCUUCAUCACCUUCCUCUUCUUCUUGCUCCAGUAUUCAACCUCCUCCAUGUCUCACUCAUGCUUCUCGUAAUUUCAAGUUUCCUCUUUGCUAGAAUUUGAUGAUACACCAUGUUCCUAAAUCUGAACCACUGCCCUGUCUAUCAUAAGAUGUACGGAUUUUGUUGAAUCCAAUUCCAACAUUAUUGUAAUA
Non-coding RNA from Lupinus albus (white lupine), 621 nucleotides. The record is from the annotation of a GenBank genome assembly. NCBI's taxonomy places the organism in Eukaryota, Viridiplantae, Streptophyta, Magnoliopsida, Fabales, Fabaceae.